This 292-nucleotide long non-coding RNA is filed under the name Elaeis guineensis (African oil palm). RNAcentral's name for it is "long non-coding RNA (EGUI_LNC028159)". Lineage: Eukaryota; Viridiplantae; Streptophyta; Magnoliopsida; Arecales; Arecaceae. The record is from RNAcentral.
AUUCAGAAAUUUCUUGCUGUUUCCAAUCUUUCUACUAAUCUGAAGUUAUUACAAUUAUUUACAUAGACUUCUAAUAUCCAAUACCCAAGUAAUAGUGUCACAAAUAGAGAAAUCACAAGAUGUUAUCAUAUAAGUAUCUUAUUCAGCAACUCUUUGUUGAUUUUUCUUUCUUAGCCUGUUCAGAUCAAGAGACUCUACCAGAUCAGGUUAACCUUAGACUCUUUUAUCAGUUUGGGCUCAUUAGCCUAAGUACGACUCUUUUACACCUUUUUUUUUCUCAAAGAAUUAUUGC